This 389-nucleotide long non-coding RNA is filed under the name Brassica napus (rape). RNAcentral's name for it is "long non-coding RNA (BNAP_LNC009838)". The record is from RNAcentral. Lineage: Eukaryota; Viridiplantae; Streptophyta; Magnoliopsida; Brassicales; Brassicaceae.
AAGAGUAGAUGAUGAGGAUGAGUUAACGGUUCUGCAAUCUUUGUUAAAGCCACAUCAGACUGCACCGGCUUCUCAAGACAACUCUUCUUUACCGGUCAAGAUUCACCACAUGUUUAUGUAACUCCUACUGAUUCAGAAAACUCUACUGUUUCAAUAUUUGUUUCAAUUACACCCACAGCGUCUUCUACAAGUGACACCGAUAAUACCCAGCCCUCUGAUGCUUCUGCUUCCGCGUAUUCUUCCUCAUACACACAGGCCCGGCCCAGCGCUAAAGCUCAUAAAGCAAACGCUUGGGGCGCCAAGGUUUAUAAGUAUUUUAGGGGCAGUUUGUAUAGUGAGUUUCUUUAGUGCAGUGGCUAUUGUAUAUCUUCUUUCUCCUCUCCGCCCGG